RNAcentral lists this transfer RNA (74 nucleotides) under Ruminococcus sp. RNAcentral describes it as "tRNA-Met". It matches the Rfam family "tRNA". Rfam says of the family: Transfer RNA (tRNA) molecules are approximately 80 nucleotides in length. Their secondary structure includes four short double-helical elements and three loops (D, anti-codon, and T loops). Lineage: Bacteria; Bacillati; Bacillota; Clostridia; Eubacteriales; Oscillospiraceae. The record is from RNAcentral.
UGGCGGAGUGGAGCAGUUGGUAGCUCGCAAGGUUCAUACCCUUGAGGUCGUUGGUUCAAGUCCAACCUCCGCAA